GACGAACGCUGGCGGCGUGCUUAACACAUGCAAGUCGAACGAAGUCGCGCACGCGUGAGUAACGCGUGAUCAACCUGCCCUUCAGACGCGGACAUCACUUUUCAACGACUGCUUAUACCCCCUAGUGUAGGAUGGGGUUGCGUCUGAUUAGCUGGCUGGCGGGGUAACGGCACACCAAGGCGAUGAUCAGUAGGGGGUGUGAGAGGGUGAGAGGCAACAUUGGGACUGGGACAGGGCCAAGACUCAAACGGGAGGCAGCAGUGGGGAAUCGGACGAAAUGGAAGAAAGCGUGACGGAGCAACGCCGAGUGAGUGAUGAGGGCCUUCGGGUUGUAAAGCUCUGUUAACCGGGAUGAGGUACUGGAAGAGAAAGCAACGGCUAACUACGUGCCAGCAGCCGCGGUAAUUC
Molecule: ribosomal RNA, 408 nt
Filed under: uncultured bacterium
Lineage: Bacteria
Description: partial 16S ribosomal RNA
Rfam family: Bacterial small subunit ribosomal RNA
Source: RNAcentral